AAUAUUGGACAAUGGGCGAAAGCCUGAUCCAGCCAUGCCGCGAGCUUGAAGAAGGUCAUCGGUUCGUAAAGCACUUUAUGUUGGGAGGAAGGGCAGGAAGGUAAUACCUUGCUGUUGUGACGUUACCGACAGUAUGAGCUGCCGCUCACGUCCGGCCAGCAGCCGCGGUAAUACGAAGGGUGCAAUGGUUAAUCGGAAUUACUGGGCGUAAAGCGCGCGUAGGUGGUUUGUUAAGUUGGAAGUGAAAGCCCCGGGGUCAACCUGGGAACUGCUUUCAAAACCGGCAAGCUAGAGUAUGGCAGAGGGUGGUGGAAUUCCCUGUGUAGCGGUGAAAUGCGUAGAUAUAGGAAGGAACACCAGUGGCGAAGGCGACUACCUGGACUGAUACUGACACUGAGGUGCGAAAGCGUGGGGAGCAAAC
Molecule: ribosomal RNA, 421 nt
Filed under: uncultured bacterium
Lineage: Bacteria
Description: partial 16S ribosomal RNA
Rfam family: Bacterial small subunit ribosomal RNA
Source: RNAcentral